AGAGUUUGAUCCUUGGCUCAGAUUGAACGCUGGCGGCAUGCCUAACACAUGCAAGUCGAACGGUAACGACGGGAGCUUGCUCCCGGGCGACGAGUGGCGGACGGGUGAGUAAUACUUAGGAAUCUGCCCAGUAGUGGGGGACAACUCGAGGAAACUCGAGCUAAUACCGCAUACGCCCUACGGGGGAAAGCGGAGGAUCUUUCGGGACUUCGCGCUAUUGGAUGAGCCUAAGUCGGAUUAGCUUGUUGGUGGGGUAAAGGCCUACCAAGGCAACGAUCUGUAGCUGGUCUGAGAGGACGAUCAGCCACACUGGGACUGAGACACGGCCCAGACUCCUACGGGAGGCAGCAGUGGGGAAUAUUGGACAAUGGGGGCAACCCUGAUCCAGCAAUGCCGCGUGUGUGAAGAAGGCCUGCGGGUUGUAAAGCACUUUCAGUAGAGAAGAAAUGCCCAUGGUUAAUACCCGUGGGUCUUGACGUAACCUACAGAAGAAGCACCGGCUAACUCCGUGCCAGCAGCCGCGGUAAUACGGAGGGUGCGAGCGUUAAUCGGAAUUACUGGGCGUAAAGCGCGCGUAGGCGGUUUGGUCAGUCGGAUGUGAAAGCCCUAGGCUCAACCUGGGAAUGGCAUUCGAUACUGCCUGACUAGAGUAUGGUAGAGGGAAGUGGAAUUUCCGGUGUAGCGGUGAAAUGCGUAGAU
RNAcentral lists this ribosomal RNA (699 nucleotides) under uncultured bacterium. Its description in RNAcentral is "bacterial SSU rRNA". It matches the Rfam family "Bacterial small subunit ribosomal RNA", at positions 8 to 695 of the family's 1533-position model. The record is from RNAcentral.